This 75-nucleotide transfer RNA is filed under the name Otus scops. RNAcentral describes it as "tRNA-Asn". It matches the Rfam family "tRNA". From Rfam's summary of the family: Transfer RNA (tRNA) molecules are approximately 80 nucleotides in length. Their secondary structure includes four short double-helical elements and three loops (D, anti-codon, and T loops). Further hydrogen bonds mediate the characteristic L-shaped molecular structure. tRNAs have two regions of fundamental functional importance: the anti-codon, which is responsible for specific mRNA codon recognition, and the 3' end, to which the tRNAs corresponding amino acid is attached (by aminoacyl-tRNA synthetases). tRNAs cope with the degeneracy of the genetic code in two manners: having more than one tRNA (with a specific anti-codon) for a particular amino acid; and 'wobble' base-pairing, i.e. permitting non-standard base-pairing at the 3rd anti-codon position. Lineage: Eukaryota; Metazoa; Chordata; Aves; Strigiformes; Strigidae. RNAcentral also lists the same sequence under 1 other name. The record is from RNAcentral.
UAGACGGAAGCCUGCAUGGUUAAGGCACCUAGCUGUUAACUAGGCUUUUUGUGGGAUCGAGGCCCAUCUGUCUAG